AUCUGGAAUCAUACUAUUUAUGGCCGUAAUCUCAAUAGCUUUCACAAGUUAAGGAGGGUUGGGCCUAUGGUACUUGCAUGGAAGACCUGCAAGGAAAUUCCAAGUU
Molecule: ribosomal RNA, 106 nt
Filed under: Anas platyrhynchos platyrhynchos (common mallard)
Lineage: Eukaryota; Metazoa; Chordata; Aves; Anseriformes; Anatidae
Source: RNAcentral